CAGAGUGUGGCAUAAAUAGAAAAGCAUCUCCCUUACACUGAGAGGAUGUCCAUGCAAAUUGGACCGCCCUGA
Molecule: transfer RNA, 72 nt
Filed under: Coryphaenoides armatus
Lineage: Eukaryota; Metazoa; Chordata; Actinopteri; Gadiformes; Macrouridae
Description: tRNA-Val
Rfam family: tRNA
About the family: Transfer RNA (tRNA) molecules are approximately 80 nucleotides in length.
Source: RNAcentral